RNAcentral lists this ribosomal RNA (432 nucleotides) under Escherichia coli. RNAcentral's name for it is "bacterial SSU rRNA". It matches the Rfam family "Bacterial small subunit ribosomal RNA", at positions 1 to 429 of the family's 1533-position model. The record is from RNAcentral. Lineage: Bacteria; Pseudomonadati; Pseudomonadota; Gammaproteobacteria; Enterobacterales; Enterobacteriaceae.
AAAUUGAAGAGUUUGAUCAUGGCUCAGAUUGAACGCUGGCGGCAGGCCUAACACAUGCAAGUCGAACGGUAACAGGAAACAGCUUGCUGUUUCGCUGACGAGUGGCGGACGGGUGAGUAAUGUCUGGGAAACUGCCUGAUGGAGGGGGAUAACUACUGGAAACGGUAGCUAAUACCGCAUAACGUCGCAAGACCAAAGAGGGGGACCUUCGGGCCUCUUGCCAUCGGAUGUGCCCAGAUGGGAUUAGCUUGUUGGUGGGGUAACGGCUCACCAAGGCGACGAUCCCUAGCUGGUCUGAGAGGAUGACCAGCCACACUGGAACUGAGACACGGUCCAGACUCCUACGGGAGGCAGCAGUGGGGAAUAUUGCACAAUGGGCGCAAGCCUGAUGCAGCCAUGCCGCGUGUAUGAAGAAGGCCUUCGGGUUGUAAA